This 369-nucleotide ribosomal RNA is filed under the name uncultured Psychrobacter sp. RNAcentral describes it as "bacterial SSU rRNA". It matches the Rfam family "Bacterial small subunit ribosomal RNA", at positions 446 to 813 of the family's 1533-position model. The record is from RNAcentral. Lineage: Bacteria; Pseudomonadati; Pseudomonadota; Gammaproteobacteria; Moraxellales; Moraxellaceae.
CCUAACGGUUAAUACCCGUUAGCGAUGACAUUAGCUGCAGAAUAAGCACCGGCUAACUCUGUGCCAGCAGCCGCGGUAAUACAGAGGGUGCAAGCGUUAAUCGGAAUUACUGGGCGUAAAGCGAGCGUAGGUGGCUUGAUAAGUCAGAUGUGAAAUCCCCGGGCUUAACCUGGGAACUGCAUCUGAUACUGUUAGGCUAGAGUAGGUGAGAGGGAAGUAGAAUUUCAGGUGUAGCGGUGAAAUGCGUAGAGAUCUGAAGGAAUACCGAUGGCGAAGGCAGCUUCCCGGCAUCAUACUGACACUGAGGCUCGAAAGCGUGGGUAGCAAACAGGAUUAGAUACCCUGGUAGUCCACGCCGUAAACGAUGUC